UACGAGGGGGGCGAGCGUUGUUCGGAAUUAUUGGGCGUAAAGGGUGCGUAGGCGGUUUGGUAAGUCUUAUGUGAAAUCUACAGGCUCAACUUGUAGUCUGCAUGAGAAACUGCCGGGCUUGAGUAUGGGAGAGGUGAGUGGAAUUCCUGGUGUAGCGGUGAAAUGCGUAGAUAUCAGGAGGAACACCUGUGGCGAAAGCGGCUCACUGGACCAUAACUGACGCUGAUGCACGAAAGCUAGGGGAGCAAACAGG
This 253-nucleotide ribosomal RNA is filed under the name uncultured bacterium. Its description in RNAcentral is "partial 16S ribosomal RNA". It matches the Rfam family "Bacterial small subunit ribosomal RNA", at positions 524 to 776 of the family's 1533-position model. RNAcentral also lists the same sequence under 1 other name. The record is from RNAcentral.